RNAcentral lists this non-coding RNA (254 nucleotides) under Lachnoclostridium sp. Its description in RNAcentral is "T-box sequence". It matches the Rfam family "T-box leader". From Rfam's summary of the family: Uncharged tRNA acts as the effector for transcription antitermination of genes in the T-box leader family. The record is from RNAcentral. Lineage: Bacteria; Bacillati; Bacillota; Clostridia; Lachnospirales; Lachnospiraceae.
CGGACAGCGAUGAACGGGAUCAGUAUAUAUGAAGGAAUGCCCCAGAGAGAAGGCGGGUGGUGCGAGCCUUGAGCAGGAACAUAUAGAACCGGCCCGGGAGCUUCUGCAUGAAAAUGCAGCGCAGGCCUGCGUUAAGGGCAAAAGAGCGAACCGCGCAUGCGGCUUUUCGGAUGCGGCUGACCGGCUGUCAGAUGAAAAGGAAAAUGCAGGCGCAGUUAAUUAGGGUGGUACCGCCGGGAAAUCCGGUCCCUUGU